CUCCCCUGCCGCCAUGUGAAGAUGUGCUUAUUUCUCCUUUGCCUUCCGCCAUGAUUGUACUCCUUCCAGGACGAGGAGGACAUGUUCAUGGUGGUGGACCUGCUCCUGGGAGGUGACCUGCGCUACCAUCUGCAGCAGAAUGUGCAUUUCACAGAGGGGACUGUGAAACUGUACAUCUGUGAGCUGGCACUGGCUCUGGAGUAUCUUCAGAGGUACCACAUCAUCCACAGAGACAUCAAGCCAGACAAUAUCCUGCUGGAUGAACACGGACAUGUUCACAUUACAGACUUCAACAUAGCGACGGUAGUGAAAGGAGCAGAAAGGGCUUCCUCCAUGGCUGGCACCAAGCCCUACAUGGAGGCCGUACGAAAUCCACUCGGCCACGCCCAUUGAUGAAAUCCUCAACAUGUUCAAGGUGGAGCGUGUCCACUACUCCUCCACGUGGUGCAAGGGGAUGGUGGCCCUGCUGAGGAAGCUCCUGACCAAGGAUCCUGAGAGCCGCCUGUCCAGCCUUCGUGACAUACAGAGCGUGCCCUACUUGGCCGACAUGAACUGGGACGCGGUGUUCGAGAAGGCACUGAUGCCCGGCUUUGUGCCCAAUAAAGGGAGGUUGAAUUGCGAUCCCACAUUUGAGCUUGAAGAGAUGAUUCUAGAAUCCAAGCCACUUCACAAAAAGAAGAAGCGGUUGGCAAAGAACAGAUCCAGGGAUGGCACGAAGGACAGCUGCCCGCUGAAUGGACACCUGCAGCAGUGUUUGGAGACUGUCCGGAAGGAAUUCAUCAUAUUCAACAGAGAGAA
This 798-nucleotide small RNA is filed under the name Pongo abelii (Sumatran orangutan). RNAcentral describes it as "processed transcript". The record is from RNAcentral. Lineage: Eukaryota; Metazoa; Chordata; Mammalia; Primates; Hominidae.